This 2346-nucleotide ribosomal RNA is filed under the name human gut metagenome. RNAcentral describes it as "bacterial LSU rRNA". It matches the Rfam family "Bacterial large subunit ribosomal RNA", at positions 687 to 2925 of the family's 2925-position model. The record is from RNAcentral.
AAAAGGCGUUUGAGUCGCGUGUCCUGGACCCGAAGCGGGAUGAUCUAGCCCUGAGCAGGUUGAAGCGCGGGUAAGACCGCGUGGAGGACCGAACCCACCUGGGUUGAAAACCGGGGGGAUGACUUGGGGCUAGGGGUGAAAGGCCAAUCAAAUUCCGUGAUAGCUGGUUCUCUCCGAAAUGCAUUUAGGUGCAGCGUCGGGGAUUACGUCCGGGGGGUAGAGCUACUGGAUGCUUGAGGGCCCGUAUCGGGUACCGACAGCAGCCAAACUCCGAAUACCCGUGACGCGUAUCCCGGCAGUGAGUCGGCGGGGGAUAAGCUCCGUCGUCGAAAGGGAGACAGCCCAGAUCGUCGUCUAAGGUCCCCAAGCGCGUGCUAAGUGGGAAAGGAUGUGGAGUCGCAUAGACAGCCAGGAGGUUGGCUCAGAAGCAGCCACCCUUGAAAGAGUGCGUAACAGCUCACUGGUCUAGUGGUUCCGCGCCGACAAUGUAGCGGGGCUCAAGCACGCCACCGAAGACGCGGCAGCGUCCGUCUGGACGCUGGGUAGGAGAGCGUCCCCAUCGGGGCGAAGCGGCGGCGCAAGCCUGCCGUGGACCGUUGGGGAGUGAGAAUGCAGACAUGAGUAGCGAGAGGCGGGUGCGAAUCCCGCCCGCUGGAUGACCAAGGGUUCCGGGGCCACGUUCGUCGUCCCCGGGUGAGUCGGGUCCUAAGGCGAGGCCGACAGGCGUAGUCGAAUGGAUGAACGGGCUGAUAUUCCCGUACCGGCAGCGAACCGAAACAACCGAGGCCUGGGGUGCUAACCUCCGGGCCCGUGCCGUCUCCCCUUUCGGGGGGUCGCGGCGCGGGCGCGUUGGGAUCCCCCCUCGUAGUAGGUCAGCGCAGGAGUGACGCAUCAGGGCAGCCGGCCGCGGAGGUGGUUUUCCGUGGUCAAGCGUUCGAGCCCGUCCCGCAGGCAAAUCCGCGGGGCGUCGGGGCGAGGCGUGAUGAUGGGGGCCUUACGGCCCGAAUCCGGUGAUCCGUGGUGCCGAGAAAAGCUUCGGCGUCAGGCGCGUUGCCGCCCGUACCCCAAACCGACACUGGUGGUCAGGUAGAGAAUACCAAAGCGAUCGAGCGAAUCCUGGUCAAGGAACUCGGCAAAUUGCUCCCGUGCCUUCGGCAUAAGGGAGACCCCCUGCGGUGAUGAGCGGCGGGGGGUGGCACAGGCCAGGGGGUAGCGACUGUUUACCAAAAACACAGGAGCGUGCGAAGGCGCAAGCCGCUGUAUACGCUCUGACGCCUGCCCGGUGCCGGAAGGUUAAGAGGAUCCGUCAGCUUUCUGCGAAGCGGUGAAUUCAAGCCCCGGUAAACGGCGGUGGUAACUAUAACCAUCCUAAGGUAGCGAAAUUCCUUGUCGGGUAAGUUCCGACCUGCACGAAUGGCGUAACGACUUCCCCACUGUCUCGACCAGGAGCUCGGCGAAAUUGCAGUACGAGUAAAGAUGCUCGUUAAGCGCAGAAGGACGAAAAGACCCCGGGACCUUUACUAUACCUUGGUAUUGGCAUUAGGCGCGGAUUGUGUAGCAUAGGCGGGAGGCUUCGAGGCGGGUGCGCCAGCAUCCGCGGAGCCGCAAGGUGAAAUACCGCUCUGUUCUCGUUUGAUGUCUAACCUCGAACAGUCAUCCUGUUCAGGGACAGUGCCUGGCGGGUAGUUUAACUGGGGCGGUUGCCUCCCAAAGAGUAACGGAGGCGCUCAAAGGUCCGCUCGGCCCGGUUGGCAAUCGGGUGUCGAGUGUAAUCGCACAAGCGGGCUUGACUGCGAGAUCGACGGAUCGAGCAGGGACGAAAGUCGGAGAUAGUGAUCCGGUGCCGGCGCACGGGCGCGGCAUCGCUCAACGGAUAAAAGGUACCCCGGGGAUAACAGGCUGAUCAUUCCCAAGAGUCCAUAUCGACGGGAUGGUUUGGCACCUCGAUGUCGGCUCGUCGCAUCCUGGGGCUGGAGCAGGUCCCAAGGGUUCGGCUGUUCGCCGAUCAAAGCGGCACGCGAGCUGGGUUCAGAACGUCGUGAGACAGUUUGGUCUCUAUCCUCUGCGCUCGUUGGAAUCCUGAGGAGGCCUGCCCAUAGUACGAGAGGACCUGGGUGGACGAACCUCUGGUAUGCCGGUCGUCACGCCAGUGGCGCGGCCGGUUGGCUACGUUCGGAAGGGAUAACCGCUGAAAGCAUCUAAGCGGGAAGCCUUCUCCAAGAUAAGGAUUCCAUGCGGCCCCGAGCCGCUGAAGACCCCAUGCAGAACACGUGGUCGAUAGGCCGGACGUGGAAGCCCCGCGAGGGGUGGAGCCGACCGGUACUAAUGGUCGAGAGGCAACCCACA